Molecule: ribosomal RNA, 251 nt
Filed under: uncultured bacterium
Lineage: Bacteria
Description: partial 16S ribosomal RNA
Source: RNAcentral
CUGCUGCCUUCCGUAGGAGUUUGGGCCGUGUCUCAGUCCCAAUGUGGCCGUCCACCCUCUCAGGCCGGCUACUGAUCGUCGCCUUGGUAGGCCGUUACCCUACCAACUAGCUAAUCAGACGCGAGUCCAUCUCUCAGCGAUAAAUCUUUGGUAUCCAUACCAUGCGAUACAGAUACGUUAUGCGGUAUUAGCAGUCGUUUCCAACUGUUGUCCCCCUCUGAAAGGCAGGUUACUCACGCGUUACUCACCCG